GACGAACGCUGGCGGCGUGCCUAACACAUGCAAGUCGAACGGGGCAAGAGGCUUCGGCCUUUUGCUUAGUGGCGAACGGGUGAGUAACGCGUGAGGAACCUGCCUCUCAGUGGGGGACAACAGUUGGAAACGACUGCUAAUACCGCAUAAUGUUUCUGGACCGCAUGAUCUGGAAACCAAAGCUUUAUGUGCUGAGAGAUGGUCUCGCGUCUGAUUAGCUAGAUGGCGGGGUAACGGCCCACCAUGGCGACGAUCAGUAGCCGGUCUGAGAGGAUGAACGGCCACAUUGGGACUGAGAUACGGCCCAGACUCCUACGGGAGGCAGCAGUGGGGAAUAUUGGGCAAUGGGGGAAACCCUGACCCAGCAACGCCGCGUGAAGGAAGAAGGCC
Molecule: ribosomal RNA, 390 nt
Filed under: uncultured bacterium
Lineage: Bacteria
Description: bacterial SSU rRNA
Rfam family: Bacterial small subunit ribosomal RNA
Source: RNAcentral